This is a non-coding RNA of Phrynosoma platyrhinos (Desert horned lizard), 68 nucleotides long. The record is from the annotation of a GenBank genome assembly. Lineage: Eukaryota; Metazoa; Chordata; Lepidosauria; Squamata; Phrynosomatidae.
GCUAUAGUGGGUCAGAUGAGCAUUGGACUCAAAAUACAAAGGCCUAGGUUCAAAUCCCUGCUGAACCA